RNAcentral lists this ribosomal RNA (121 nucleotides) under Helianthus annuus (common sunflower). Lineage: Eukaryota; Viridiplantae; Streptophyta; Magnoliopsida; Asterales; Asteraceae. The record is from RNAcentral.
GGUUGCGAUCAUACCAGCACUAAUGCACCGGAUCCCAUCAGAACUCCGUAGUUAAGCGUGCUUGGGCGAGAGUAGUACUAGGAUAGGGUGACCCCCUGGGAAGUCCUAGUGUUUGCAACCC